This 688-nucleotide ribosomal RNA is filed under the name uncultured bacterium. RNAcentral's name for it is "bacterial SSU rRNA". It matches the Rfam family "Bacterial small subunit ribosomal RNA", at positions 813 to 1500 of the family's 1533-position model. The record is from RNAcentral.
CGACUUGGAGGUUGUUCCCUUGAGGAGUGGCUUCCGGAGCUAACGCGUUAAGUCGACCGCCUGGGGAGUACGGCCGCAAGGUUAAAACUCAAAUGAAUUGACGGGGGCCCGCACAAGCGGUGGAGCGUGUGGUUUAAUUCGAUGCAACGCGAAGAACCUUACCUACUCUUGACAUCCAGCGAACUUGGCAGAGAUGCCUUGGUGCCUUCGGGAACGCUGAGACAGGUGCUGCAUGGCUGUCGUCAGCUCGUGUUGUGAAAUGUUGGGUUAAGUCCCGCAACGAGCGCAACCCUUAUCCUUUGUUGCCAGCGAGUCAUGUCGGGAACUCAAAGGAGACUGCCGGUGAUAAACCGGAGGAAGGUGGGGGUGACGUCAAGUCAUCAUGGCCCUUACGAGUAGGGCUACACACGUGCUACAAUGGCGCAUACAAAGAGAAGCGACCUCGCGAGAGCAAGCGGACCUCACAAAGUGCGUCGUAGUCCGGAUCGGAGUCUGCAACUCGACUCCGUGAAGUCGGAAUCGCUAGUAAUCGUGGAUCAGAAUGCCACGGUGAAUACGUUCCCGGGCCUUGUACACACCGCCCGUCACACCAUGGGAGUGGGUUGCAAAAGAAGUAGGUAGCUUAACCUUCGGGAGGGCGCUUACCGCUUUGUGAUUCAUGACUGGGGUGAAGUCGUAACAUGGUACC